UGGAAUUGUACUAGAAGUACCUAAUACAAAACGAGGCCCAACGGGUCGUGGAGUUCAUGAUUGGGGUG
RNAcentral lists this ribosomal RNA (68 nucleotides) under uncultured bacterium. RNAcentral's name for it is "partial 16S ribosomal RNA". The record is from RNAcentral.